CCUACGGGAGGCAGCAGUGAGGAAUAUUGGACAAUGGGCGCAAGCCUGAUCCAGCCAUGCCGCGUGCAGGAAGACGGUCCUAUGGAUUGUAAACUGCUUUUGUACAGGAAGAAACACUCCCUCGUGAGGGAGCUUGACGGUACUGUAAGAAUAAGGAUCGGCUAACUCCGUGCCAGCAGCCGCGGUAAUACGGAGGAUCCAAGCGUUAUCCGGAAUCAUUGGGUUUAAAGGGUCCGUAGGCGGUUUAAUAAGUCAGUGGUGAAAUCUGGUCGCUCAACGAUCAAACGGCCAUUGAUACUGUUAGACUUGAAUUAUUAGGAAGUAACUAGAAUAUGUAGUGUAGCGGUGAAAUGCUUAGAUAUUACAUGGAAUACCAAUUGCGAAGGCAGGUUACUACUAAUGGAUUGACGCUGAUGGACGAAAGCGUGGGGAGCGAACAGGAUUAGAUACCCUGGUAGUCCACGACGUAACGA
Molecule: ribosomal RNA, 473 nt
Filed under: uncultured bacterium
Lineage: Bacteria
Description: bacterial SSU rRNA
Rfam family: Bacterial small subunit ribosomal RNA
Source: RNAcentral